AACGAACGCUGGCGGCGCGUCUUAAGCAUGCAAGUCGAACGGCAAGAGAGGAGCUUGCUUCUCUCCUAGAGUGGCGGACUGGUGAGGAACACGUGGGUAAUCUACCCUUAAGAUGGGGAUAGCUGCUAGAAAUAGCAGGUAAUACCGAAUACACUCGGCAUAUCACAAGAGGUGUUGAGGAAAGGAAGCUACGGCUUCGCUUGAGGAUGAGCUUGCGUCCCAUUAGCUAGUUGGUGAGGUAAAGGCCCACCAAGGCGACGAUGAGUAUCCGGCCUGAGAGGGUGAACGGACACAUUGGGACUGAGAUACGGCCCAAACUCCUACGGGAGGCAGCAGCUAAGAAUAUUCCGCAAUGGACGGAAGUCUGACGGAGCGACGCCGCGUGGAUGAAGAAGGCUGAAAAGUUGUAAAAUCCUUUUGUUGAUGAAGAAUAAGGGUGAGAGGGAAUGCUCAUCUGAUGACGGUAAUCGACGAAUAAGCCCCGGCUAAUUACGUG
This 496-nucleotide ribosomal RNA is filed under the name uncultured bacterium. Its description in RNAcentral is "partial 16S ribosomal RNA". It matches the Rfam family "Bacterial small subunit ribosomal RNA", at positions 29 to 507 of the family's 1533-position model. The record is from RNAcentral.